This is a long non-coding RNA of Aricia agestis (brown argus), 370 nucleotides long. RefSeq lists it as uncharacterized. Lineage: Eukaryota; Metazoa; Arthropoda; Insecta; Lepidoptera; Lycaenidae. The record is from RefSeq and is a predicted model, not a curated record. The transcript has 3 exons.
UUGUGAAUUUUUAUUUUAAUAUUAAAAAGAAACAUGAAAAUUGGUUCUUGUGUCGUUUGUUUUAAUGAAAAUGUUAAAGUUUUUGAUAUUACUGGAACGCAGUUGCAAUAUACUUACGAGCAGAUUUCAAAUUCUACGAUAAAAAAGGUUUCACAUUACUUAUGUAUUAUGUGUUGUACAAGACUAAAACAAUUUGGUAGUUUGUUUAAACAGAUUGGCAAUUAUCAAAAAUACUCACAUGACGGAGAAAAUCAGGUUGAAUGUCAGCCUAUAGUUACUCUGUCAACCCAUGUCAUAGAAAGAGGCUCAAUACCUUACCAUAUUUGUAAAGAAGAAAUCAUCAUAACAAUAAAGAAAGAAAAGAAGGAAG